AGCGGCGGAUGGGUGAGUAACACGUGGGGAACCUGCCCCUAAGUCUGGGAUACCAUUUGGAAACAGGUGCUAAUACCGGAUAAUAAAGCAGAUCGCAUGAUCAGCUUUUGAAAGGCGACGUAAGCUGUCGCUAAGGGAUGGCCCCGCGGUGCAUUAGCUAGUUGGUAAGGUAACGGCUUACCAAGGCGACGAUGCAUAGCCGAGUUGAGAGACUGAUCGGCCACAUUGGGACUGAGACACGGCCCAAACUCCUACGGGAGGCAGCAGUAGGGAAUCUUCCACAAUGGACGCAAGUCUGAUGGAGCAACGCCGCGUGAGUGAAGAAGGUUUUCGGAUCGUAAAGCUCUGUUGUUGGUGAAGAAGGAUAGAGGUAGUAACUGGCCUUUAUUUGACGGUAAUCAACCAGAAAGUCACGGCUAACUACGUGCCAGCAGCCGCGGUAAUACGUAGGUGGCAAGCGUUGUCCGGAUUUAUUGGGCGUAAAGCGAGCGCGGGCGGAAAAAUAAGUCUAAUGUGAAAGCCCUCGGCUUAACCGAGGAACUGCAUCGGAAACUGUUAUUCUUGAGUGCAGAAGAGGAGAGUGGAACUCCAUGUGUAGCGGUGGAAUGCGUAGAUAUAUGGAAGAACACCAGUGGCGAAGGCGGCUCUCUGGUCUGCAACUGACGCUGAGGCUCGAAAGCAUGAGUAGCGAACAGGAUUAGAUACCCUGGUAGUCCAUGCCGUAAACGAUGAGUGCUAAGUGU
This 743-nucleotide ribosomal RNA is filed under the name uncultured bacterium. RNAcentral's name for it is "bacterial SSU rRNA". It matches the Rfam family "Bacterial small subunit ribosomal RNA", at positions 94 to 823 of the family's 1533-position model. The record is from RNAcentral.